GUAGCGGCGAGUGAAGCGGCAAUAGCUCAAAUUUGUAAUCUGGCACCUUCGGUGUCCGAGUUGUAAUUUGAAGAAGGUAUCUUUGGUUUUGGCUCUUGUCUAUGUUUCUUGGAACAGGACGUCACAGAGGGUGAGAAUCCCGUGCGAUAAGAUGCCCAAUUCCAUGUAAAGUUCCUUCGACGAGUCGAGUUGUUUGGGAAUGCAGCUCUAAGUGGGUGGUAAAUUCCAUCUAAAGCUAAAUAUUGGCGAGAGACCGAUAGCGAACAAGUACUGUGAAGGAAAGAUGAAAAGAACUUUGAAAAGAGAGUGAAAAAGUACGUGAAAUUGUUGAAAGGGAAGGGCUUGAGGUCAGACUUGGUUUUACCAGGCCAGCAUCAGUUUGGAUGGCAGGAUAAUAGCUAAGAAAAGUGGCACAACUUCGGUUGUGUGUUAUAGUCUUGGUUGAUACUGCCUGUCUAGACUGAGGACUGCGUCUUUGACUAGGAUGCUGGCAUAAUGACCUUAA
Molecule: ribosomal RNA, 505 nt
Filed under: Yamadazyma sp. nov. UFMG-CM-Y3169
Lineage: Eukaryota; Fungi; Ascomycota; Pichiomycetes; Serinales; Debaryomycetaceae
Description: LSU rRNA
Rfam family: Eukaryotic large subunit ribosomal RNA
Source: RNAcentral